UGUGAGCUCGAUGAGUAGGGCGGGACACGUGGUAUCCUGUCUGAAUAUGGGGGGACCAUCCUCCAAGGCUAAAUACUCCUGACUGACCGAUAGUGAACCAGUACCGUGAGGGAAAGGCGAAAAGAACCCCGGCGAGGGGAGUGAAAAAGAACCUGAAACCGUGUACGUACAAGCAGUGGGAGCCCCACCACCAAAGCAUUCUCUGGUGUUGAAGGCCCUGCAAAGCAGCAUCGCGGUGGCGGAGCGUCGUUUGCGACGCCCAACACACAAAACAAGCGGUGAGUGCUUUGGGGUGGGG
RNAcentral lists this ribosomal RNA (298 nucleotides) under Salmonella enterica subsp. enterica serovar Tennessee. RNAcentral describes it as "partial 23S ribosomal RNA". It matches the Rfam family "Bacterial large subunit ribosomal RNA", at positions 398 to 612 of the family's 2925-position model. Lineage: Bacteria; Pseudomonadati; Pseudomonadota; Gammaproteobacteria; Enterobacterales; Enterobacteriaceae. The record is from RNAcentral.